UACGUAGGGGGCAAGCGUUGUCCGGAUUUAUUGGGCGUAAAGAGCGUGUAGGCGGCCAGGUAGGUCAGCUGUGAAAACUCGAGGCUCAACCUCGAGACGUCGGUUGAAACCACCGGGCUAGAGUCCGGAAGAGGAGAGUGGAAUUCCUGGUGUAGCGGUGAAAUGCGCAGAUAUCAGGAAGAACACCCGUGGCGAAGGCGGCUCUCUGGGACGGUACUGACGCUGAGACGCGAAAGCGUGGGGAGCGAACAGG
RNAcentral lists this ribosomal RNA (253 nucleotides) under uncultured bacterium. RNAcentral describes it as "partial 16S ribosomal RNA". It matches the Rfam family "Bacterial small subunit ribosomal RNA", at positions 524 to 776 of the family's 1533-position model. The record is from RNAcentral.